GCUCAUUUUUGACAGCAUGUGGUAAAACUGGAACGACAGAGAGUUUAUAGCAUGACCCCUGCACAAGGAUGACAUGCAAAUUCGUGAUACGUUCCAUAUUUUU
Molecule: small nuclear RNA, 103 nt
Organism: Hippopotamus amphibius kiboko
Lineage: Eukaryota; Metazoa; Chordata; Mammalia; Artiodactyla; Hippopotamidae
Source: RefSeq, a predicted model, not a curated record